This 76-nucleotide transfer RNA is filed under the name Sneathiellales bacterium. RNAcentral's name for it is "tRNA-Lys". It matches the Rfam family "tRNA". Rfam says of the family: Transfer RNA (tRNA) molecules are approximately 80 nucleotides in length. Their secondary structure includes four short double-helical elements and three loops (D, anti-codon, and T loops). The record is from RNAcentral. Lineage: Bacteria; Pseudomonadati; Pseudomonadota; Alphaproteobacteria; Sneathiellales.
GGGCCCUUAGCUCAGCUGGUAGAGCAACUGACUUUUAAUCAGUAGGUCGCUGGUUCGAACCCAGCAGGGCUCACCA